GGAUGCGAUCAUACCAGCACUAACGCACCGGAUCCCAUCAGAACUCCGAAGUUAAGCGUGCUUGGGCGAGAGUAGUACUAGGAUGGGUGACCCCCUGGGAAGUCCUCGUGUUGC
Molecule: ribosomal RNA, 114 nt
Filed under: Nicotiana tabacum (common tobacco)
Lineage: Eukaryota; Viridiplantae; Streptophyta; Magnoliopsida; Solanales; Solanaceae
Source: RNAcentral